CUCUACGCCGAAUGGGACUGAAAAGACGUCGACUACAAAUAGUUCGAGUCUCUAUCAAGCUGUCAACCCGACCAACACUGCUAUGAUCGUGGGUGUAGUCUGUGGAAUUGUCAUUGUGGCUCUCCUGGUCGCCUUUAUGACAUAUGUACUCUACAUACGCAGGAAGAUGUUGCCAGUUAAGGAAAAUGCAAAACCAGGUGAUGACAUUCCCUCACCUACUUACUACGACGAAUUCGAAGUCGCUCAAGGUGAUGACAUUCCUACACCAUCUUACUUCACAGUGCCUGACGUCGACGAAGUCGCUCAGGGUGAACAAAGCGAGGAAGUUUACACGGAACUAACAUAAAAUAACUUCUGGCCUGACAAUGCAACGCAUUUUUACAGUAAUGCUUCAAAUUUCAUUUUUCCGCGUGGAAAAUACAUGGAUAUACCGACAUUUGCUCAAAAUUGAAAAUAGUUACCAUGCUUUAUUGUAAACACGUGUGUUGUUUGCAACGCUUUGUCGACGUAUAUUUGAUAUUGCAGCACAUUCGUCACCAGUCGUCCCUUUCCGUAACUUUCCGUAUGGUAUGUGCGAUAAUCAGAACGCGAGUAAUGAUUGCGGUGCUUUGUUAAAAAUAAUCCGGAGUACUAAAAUCGUUUAUGGCAUUUUGUGAUUGUUUAAAAAAAUCAUGAAAAAUAUAUAUCGUCAUACAGACAGUACAAAGAACAUAGCUAACACAAUAGUGUUGCCUAAUGAGAAGUUUUUAAUAAUGAUAAUGACCUGAGAGAUU
Molecule: long non-coding RNA, 773 nt
Organism: Haliotis rubra (blacklip abalone)
Lineage: Eukaryota; Metazoa; Mollusca; Gastropoda; Lepetellida; Haliotidae
Exons: 3
Source: RefSeq, a predicted model, not a curated record